RNAcentral lists this ribosomal RNA (780 nucleotides) under uncultured marine microorganism. RNAcentral describes it as "bacterial SSU rRNA". It matches the Rfam family "Bacterial small subunit ribosomal RNA", at positions 21 to 845 of the family's 1533-position model. The record is from RNAcentral.
GGCUCAGGAUGAACGCUGGCGGUAUGCCUAACACAUGCAAGUCGAACGAUGUCUUCGGACAUAGUGGCGGACGGGUGAGUAACGCGUGAGAAUCUGCCUCUAGGAUGGGGAUAACGGUUGGAAACGACCGCUAACACCCAAUAUGCCGUAAGGUGAAAAAUUUAUUGCCUGGAGAGGAGCUCGCGUCUGAUUAGCUAGUUGGUGGGGUAAGAGCUCACCAAGGCUUCGAUCAGUAGCUGGUCUGAGAGGAUGAGCAGCCACACUGGGACUGAGACACGGCCCAGACUCCUACGGGAGGCAGCAGUGGGGAAUUUUCCGCAAUGGGCGAAAGCCUGACGGAGCAAUACCGCGUGAGGGAGGAAUGCCUUUGGGUUGUAAACCUCUUUUCUCAGGGAAGAAGAUCUGACGGUACCUGAGGAAUAAGUAUCGGCUAACUCCGUGCCAGCAGCCGCGGUAAUACGGAGGAUGCAAGCGUUAUCCGGAAUCAUUGGGCGUAAAGCGUCCGCAGGUGGUUUCCAAAGUCUGCUGUUAAAGACUGGAGCUCAACUCCGGAACGGCGGUGGAAACUUGGAAACUAGAGUUCGGUAGGGGUAGCAGGAAUUCCCAGUGUAGCGGUGAAAUGCGUAGAUAUUGGGAAGAACAUCGGUGGCGAAGGCGUGCUACUGGACCGUAACUGACACUCAGGGACGAAAGCUAGGGGAGCGAAAGGGAUUAGAUACCCCUGUAGUCCUAGCUGUAAACGAUGGAAACUAGGUGUGGCUUGUAUCGACCCGAGCCGUG